RNAcentral lists this unclassified non-coding RNA (296 nucleotides) under fungal sp. RNAcentral's name for it is "partial internal transcribed spacer region". The stretch from base 1 to 46 matches the Rfam family "Eukaryotic small subunit ribosomal RNA", at positions 1786 to 1831 of the family's 1831-position model. The record is from RNAcentral. Lineage: Eukaryota; Fungi.
AAGUCGUAACAAGGUAACCGUAGGUGAACCUGCGGUUGGAUCAUUACUGAAUUAUGAAUGGUGAAUCUUUUGGAUUCAUCAAUUCAAAAACCCCACUUGUGAACUGUUUACCGUAUUUGUUUGGCAGCCCACCUAUUUGUUUUGCAAAUGAAAGGAUAAGAGCAUUCAUUUUGUCUCGUGUCUGGGGCUGUUGAACGCCUAUAAACAAACUCGUUUUUUUCUAUUUAUCUGAGUCUAUUUCUAAUUAUACUUAAUAAUUAAAAAAACAACUUUUGACAACGGAUCUCUUGGCUCUC